Triticum urartu is the source of this 149-nucleotide non-coding RNA. The record is from Rfam. Lineage: Eukaryota; Viridiplantae; Streptophyta; Magnoliopsida; Poales; Poaceae.
UAUAUACUCUUUCCGUUCGGAAUUACUUGUCUUGGAAAUGGAUGUAUCUAAAACUAAAAUACGUCUAAAUACAUCCAUUUCUGCGACAAAUUUUAGUUUUAGAUACAUCCAUUUACAAGACAAGUAAUUCCGAACGGAAAGAGUAACAC